RNAcentral lists this ribosomal RNA (1723 nucleotides) under Salmonella enterica. Its description in RNAcentral is "partial 23S ribosomal RNA". It matches the Rfam family "Bacterial large subunit ribosomal RNA", at positions 1181 to 2802 of the family's 2925-position model. The record is from RNAcentral. Lineage: Bacteria; Pseudomonadati; Pseudomonadota; Gammaproteobacteria; Enterobacterales; Enterobacteriaceae.
CUAAACCAUGCACCGAAGCUGCGGCAGCGAACGUAUCACCCAAGACAACUUUACGGAGUUGACGAUUGACGGAGCGAAGCGACGUCAAAGCGUUCAUUAAAGUCGAGUUGGCUUAGGGAUACGUUCGUUGGGUAGGGGAGCGUUCUGUAAGCCUGUGAAGGUGUGUCGUGAGGCAUGCUGGAGGUAUCAGAAGUGCGAAUGCUGACAUAAGUAACGAUAAAGCGGGUGAAAAGCCCGCUCGCCGGAAGACCAAGGGUUCCUGUCCAACGUUAAUCGGGGCAGGGUGAGUCGACCCCUAAGGCGAGGCCGAAAGGCGUAGUCGAUGGGAAACGGGUUAAUAUUCCCGUACUUGGUGUUACUGCGAAGGGGGGACGGAGAAGGCUAUGUUGGCCGGGCGACGGUUGUCCCGGUUUAAGCGUGUAGGUGUGUGUUCCAGGUAAAUCCGGUUCACUUUAACACUGAGGCGUGACGACGAGGCACUACGGUGCUGAAGCAACAAAUGCCCUGCUUCCAGGAAAAGCCUCUAAGCAUCAGGUAACAUCAAAUCGUACCCCAAACCGACACAGGUGGUCAGGUAGAGAAUACCAAGGCGCUUGAGAGAACUCGGGUGAAGGAACUAGGCAAAAUGGUGCCGUAACUUCGGGAGAAGGCACGCUGACACGUAGGUGAAGUGAUUUACUCAUGGAGCUGAAGUCAGUCGAAGAUACCAGCUGGCUGCAACUGUUUAUUAAAAACACAGCACUGUGCAAACACGAAAGUGGACGUAUACGGUGUGACGCCUGCCCGGUGCCGGAAGGUUAAUUGAUGGGGUCAGCGCAAGCGAAGCUCCUGAUCGAAGCCCCGGUAAACGGCGGCCGUAACUAUAACGGUCCUAAGGUAGCGAAAUUCCUUGUCGGGUAAGUUCCGACCUGCACGAAUGGCGUAAUGAUGGCCAGGCUGUCUCCACCCGAGACUCAGUGAAAUUGAACUCGCUGUGAAGAUGCAGUGUACCCGCGGCAAGACGGAAAGACCCCGUGAACCUUUACUAUAGCUUGACACUGAACAUUGAGCCUUGAUGUGUAGGAUAGGUGGGAGGCUUUGAAGUGUGGACGCCAGUCUGCAUGGAGCCGACCUUGAAAUACCACCCUUUAAUGUUUGAUGUUCUAACGUGGACCCGUAAUCCGGGUUGCGGACAGUGUCUGGUGGGUAGUUUGACUGGGGCGGUCUCCUCCUAAAGAGUAACGGAGGAGCACGAAGGUUGGCUAAUCCUGGUCGGACAUCAGGAGGUUAGUGCAAUGGCAUAAGCCAGCUUGACUGCGAGCGUGACGGCGCGAGCAGGUGCGAAAGCAGGUCAUAGUGAUCCGGUGGUUCUGAAUGGAAGGGCCAUCGCUCAACGGAUAAAAGGUACUCCGGGGAUAACAGGCUGAUACCGCCCAAGAGUUCAUAUCGACGGCGGUGUUUGGCACCUCGAUGUCGGCUCAUCACAUCCUGGGGCUGAAGUAGGUCCCAAGGGUAUGGCUGUUCGCCAUUUAAAGUGGUACGCGAGCUGGGUUUAGAACGUCGUGAGACAGUUCGGUCCCUAUCUGCCGUGGGCGCUGGAGAACUGAGGGGGGCUGCUCCUAGUACGAGAGGACCGGAGUGGACGCAUCACUGGUGUUCGGGUUGUCAUGCCAAUGGCACUGCCCGGUAGCUAAAUGCGGAAGAGAUAAGUGCUGAAAGCAUCUAAGCACGAAACUUGCCCCGA